Molecule: ribosomal RNA, 442 nt
Rfam family: Bacterial large subunit ribosomal RNA
AGCCUGAAGGAUUAAGUAUUUUAGGUAAGACCUGCCCGAUGCCAAAAUUGGUGAAUGGCCGCAGUACCCUGACUGUGCUAAGGUAGCGUAAUCAGUUGGCUUUUAAAUGGAGUCGUGUAUGAAUGGAUUUUUGGGGUUAAGCUGUCUCUACUAAAUUUAGUUGAAUUUGGUUAGGAGGUGAAAAUACCUUCAAUUAGAUAAAGGACGAUAAGACCCUUGGAGUUUUUACUAAUAAAAUCUUUAAUUUUUGUUGUUUUUGCUGGGGCGGCAUAGAGAUAAUAAUUGUAACUCUCUUAUAGAAUAAGCCGAAAGUUUUAAGUACAGAUAAACUACCCGAGGGAUAACAGCAUUAUUCUUUACAGAGUUUGUGACCUCGAUGUUGGACUAGGAAUUAAUUAGGCUAGCCGCUUAAAUAUAUUGUUCUGUUCGAACUAAUUUUCCU